This 497-nucleotide ribosomal RNA is filed under the name uncultured bacterium. Its description in RNAcentral is "partial 16S ribosomal RNA". It matches the Rfam family "Bacterial small subunit ribosomal RNA", at positions 28 to 507 of the family's 1533-position model. The record is from RNAcentral.
GACGAACGCUGGCGGCGUGCCUAAUACAUGCAAGUAGAACGCUGAAGAGAGGAGCUUGCUCUUCUUGGAUGAGUUGCGCACGGGUGAGUAACGCGUAGGUAACCUGCCUGGUAGCGGGGGAUAACUAUUGGAAACGAUAGCUAAUACCGCAUAAAAUUGAUUAUUGCAUGAUAAUUAAUUGAAAGAUGCAACUGCAUCACUACCAGAUGGACCUGCGUUGUAUUAGCUAGUUGGUGAGGUAACGGCUCACCAAGGCGACGAUACAUAGCCGACCUGAGAGGGUGAGCGGCCACACUGGGACGGAGACACGGCCCAGAGUCCUACGGGAGGCAGCAGUAGGGAAACUGCGGCAAUGGGGGGAAACCUGACCGAGAAACGCCGAGGGAGUGAAGAAGGUUGUCGGAUCGGAAAGCUCUGUUGUAAGAGAAGAACGGGUGUGAGAGUGGAAAGUUCACACUGUGACGGUAUCUUACCAGAAAGGGACGGCUAACUACGUG